This 348-nucleotide ribosomal RNA is filed under the name uncultured Caldimonas sp. RNAcentral's name for it is "bacterial SSU rRNA". It matches the Rfam family "Bacterial small subunit ribosomal RNA", at positions 9 to 359 of the family's 1533-position model. The record is from RNAcentral. Lineage: Bacteria; Pseudomonadati; Pseudomonadota; Betaproteobacteria; Burkholderiales; Sphaerotilaceae.
GAGUUUGAUCCUGGCUCAGAUUGAACGCUGGCGGCAUGCUUUACACAUGCAAGUCGAACGGCAGCGCGGGCUUCGGCCUGGCGGCGAGUGGCGAACGGGUGAGUAAUACAUCGGAACGUGCCCAGUAGUGGGGGAUAGCUCGGCGAAAGCCGGAUUAAUACCGCAUACGACCUGAGGGUGAAAGCGGGGGAUCUUCGGGCCUCGCGCUAUUGGAGCGGCCGAUGGCAGAUUAGCUAGUUGGUGGGGUAAAGGCCUACCAAGGCGACGAUCUGUAGCUGGUCUGAGAGGACGACCAGCCACACUGGGACUGAGACACGGCCCAGACUCCUACGGGAGGCAGCAGAAGGG